CAACCACCGUGGCACAAAUACAGGUUCUCAUCUUACAACACAGACACAUCAUUUGUCAAGAACUGUUCACAAAAGCUGUUACCAACAUUUCUAGCCAAGAAAUGGGACAAGCAGAGAUACCCAAGAACUGUUUUGUGUACUGACAACCUCUGAUGGGAAGGGAGAUACAAAGUCUAGAAGAUUCUGAGCCUCCUGUUUCAGCUCCCUAGUAAUUAUGAAGGCUCUCUGGCUCACCAUUCAACCACCUUUGAGGUGCUUUGACUGCAAGGUUGCUGGAAGUGAAUCUCCUUGGCCGAUUACUUUUCUGGAUUGUUUGCUACCUGAGCACUUGAUGGCAAGCCUUGAAGCUGAACUGGAAGAAGAGGACUUCAUGCUAUUAAAUGCAAGAGAAUAGGCACUUACAGAAAUCUAGCUCCAGAAUUCCCUGACAGGGAACGAAGCCAUGCAGUGAUGAAUGUAAUCAGGCAAGCUGGAAAAAAGCCAGGUUAUUUUUUCCCCCAUCAGAAAUCUGCUGGGUUUUGAAAAAUGUUUUCUUGAUAUCGACAUGUUUCAAGUCAGUGCAUCUGAGCUUCUUAAGUUAAAAGAUGUCCCACCAGCAAAUUUCUGGAAGGAAGAUAGCAAUUUAACUCAUUAAUAGAGUGUAAACUUUAGGGAUUUAAUUUUAAAACCAAUCUACUCUUUAAAAAUAAAUAUUUUAUGAGUUGUAACAGCUCUCAGGGAAGGGUAACUGAACUCUGUAGUGCUCUUUCAACUCACUGCCUGGUAGCACUGUGAAUUCUCCUCAGCAAAAGUACCACUUUAAUAUAUCUCUCCUCAUUUCUUAGGACUUCUACUUUUCCAGGUCAUUUUGGGUUUUUCUGUGUGGGAAGGGGGAGUUGGGUUGGAUUGAGUUUUUCAUUUGUUUGCUUUGGUGGCAUUAAUGACUGCAGCA
Long non-coding RNA from Pogoniulus pusillus (Red-fronted tinkerbird), 931 nucleotides. RefSeq lists it as uncharacterized. Lineage: Eukaryota; Metazoa; Chordata; Aves; Piciformes; Lybiidae. The record is from RefSeq and is a predicted model, not a curated record. The transcript is spliced from 3 exons.